RNAcentral lists this small nuclear RNA (107 nucleotides) under Dasypus novemcinctus (nine-banded armadillo). Lineage: Eukaryota; Metazoa; Chordata; Mammalia; Cingulata; Dasypodidae. The record is from RNAcentral.
AUGCUCACUUUGGCAGCACAUAUACAAAAAUUAGAAUGAUACAGAGAAAAUUACCAUGAUCCAUGUGCAAGGAAAAUAUACAAAUUUGUGAAGUGUUCCAUGUUCUU